Molecule: ribosomal RNA, 397 nt
Filed under: uncultured bacterium
Lineage: Bacteria
Description: partial 16S ribosomal RNA
Rfam family: Bacterial small subunit ribosomal RNA
Source: RNAcentral
AUACGUAGGGGGCGAGCGUUGUCCGGAAUGAUUGGGCGUAAAGGGCGCGUAGGCGGCGCGGUAAGUCUGGAGUGAAAGUCCUGCUUUCAAGGUGGGAAUUGCUUUGGAUACUGCCGCGCUUGAGUGCAGGAGAGGUUAUCGGAAUUCCCGGUGUAGCGGUGACAUGCGUAGAGAUCGGGAGGAACACCAGUGGCGAAGGCGGGUAACUGGACUGCAACUGACGCUGAGGCGCGAAAGUGUGGGGAGCAAACAGGAUUAGAUACCCUGGUAGUCCACACUGUAAACGAUGAAUGCUAGGUGUAAGAGGUAUCGACCCCUUUUGUGCCGGAGUCAACACAAUAAGCAUUCCGCCUGUGGAGUACGGCCGCAAGGUUGAAACUCAAAUGAAUUGACGGGG